RNAcentral lists this ribosomal RNA (247 nucleotides) under Clostridioides difficile. Its description in RNAcentral is "partial 23S ribosomal RNA". It matches the Rfam family "Bacterial large subunit ribosomal RNA", at positions 1319 to 1562 of the family's 2925-position model. Lineage: Bacteria; Bacillati; Bacillota; Clostridia; Peptostreptococcales; Peptostreptococcaceae. The record is from RNAcentral.
GGGUGAGAAUCCCACAGGCCGUAAACCCAAGGUUUCCAGGGGAAGGUUCGUCCGCCCUGGGUUAGUCGGGACCUAAGCUGAGGCCGAAAGGCGUAGGGGAUGGACAACAGGUUGAUAUUCCUGUACUACCGAUAACCGUUUGAGAGAAGGGAUGACACAGUAGGAUAAGCUAAGCACACUGUUGGUUAUGUGUGCCCAAGCAUUGAGGCAGUCAAAGUAGGCAAAUCCGCUUUGAUAAUGCUGGGAU